This 735-nucleotide ribosomal RNA is filed under the name Triticum aestivum (bread wheat). Its description in RNAcentral is "partial small subunit ribosomal RNA". The record is from RNAcentral. Lineage: Eukaryota; Viridiplantae; Streptophyta; Magnoliopsida; Poales; Poaceae.
AUGUGGUUCUCAAAAACUGAAGGAAAUACUUACGCUACUUUGCUGCAUCACCCUUUCCUAUUCAAGGGAAAACCAACGCAGUGCUCAAGAGGUAGCAAGAAGGAAUUUAAUGAUGAUAGCUGCUCUUUGAUAGAUUGUAUUUCCUUGUUGCAAUCCGUGCUAAAUUCUCCUCAUGCUUAUAGCCAAAAUAAAGCUUUUACCAAACAUAUCGUUGAUGCUUUGAUGCAAUCUUAUGAAGAAAAACUUGAGUUGGAGGUUUCUAUCCCUAGAAAACUUUAUGAUGAAUGGGAACUUACUAUUAAAAUUAAAAUUAAAGAUCAUGAAUGCUAUGCUUUGUGUGAUUUGGGUGCUAGUGUUUCCAUGAUUCCAAAGACUUUGUGCGAUUUUCUAGGUUUCUGUGAUUUUGAUGAUUGCUCUUUGAACUUGCACCUUGCGGAUUCCACCAUUAAGAAACCUAUGGGAAGAAUUAAUGAUGUUCUUAUUGUUGCAAAUAGGAACUAUGUGCCCGAUUUUAUUGUUCUUGACAUAGAUUUCAAUCCUUCAUGUCCUAUUAUUCUUGGUAGACCUUUCCUUAGAACGAUUGGUGCAAUUGUUGAUAUGAAGAAAGGGAAUAUUAGAUUCCAAUUUCCAUUAAAGAAAGGCAUGGAACACUUCCCUAGAAAGAAAAUAAAAUUACCUUAUGAAUCUAUUAUGAGAGCCACUUAUGGAUUGCCUACCAAAGAUGGCAAUACCUAG